RNAcentral lists this long non-coding RNA (230 nucleotides) under Elaeis guineensis (African oil palm). Its description in RNAcentral is "long non-coding RNA (EGUI_LNC060610)". The record is from RNAcentral. Lineage: Eukaryota; Viridiplantae; Streptophyta; Magnoliopsida; Arecales; Arecaceae.
AAAUUUUGGAUGGGCAUGAGUUGUCACAUGGAGAGGGUGCGAGUCAAAUCUGAAUGCAUCCCAUUGCUAACUAUUUAAAGGAGGCUGCGUCGGGGAUUCAUUUCAUUCAGAUUUUCAGUUUCAUCUCUUUUUUCUUAUAUACUCUUUCUAUUAUCCAAUUAGUCGCUUCUUUUUCUUGUUAGGAUAAGUUCAAAAAUAGUAAGAACAAGUAUGAUUUUAGGAUAAGGGCC